This 106-nucleotide non-coding RNA is filed under the name Pontibacillus yanchengensis. RNAcentral describes it as "SAM-I sequence". It matches the Rfam family "SAM riboswitch aptamer (S box leader)". From Rfam's summary of the family: The SAM riboswitch is found upstream of a number of genes which code for proteins involved in methionine or cysteine biosynthesis in Gram-positive bacteria. The SAM riboswitch acts at the level of transcription termination control. The predicted structure consists of a complex stem-loop region followed by a single stem loop terminator region. The record is from RNAcentral. RNAcentral also lists the same sequence under 1 other name. Lineage: Bacteria; Bacillati; Bacillota; Bacilli; Caryophanales; Bacillaceae.
UCCUUAUCAAGAGUGACGGAGGGAUGGGCCUUUGAUGUCACAGCAACCUUCCUAUUGGAGUGGUGCUAAGUCCAGCAGAGUGUGUAAUCAUUCUGGAAGAUAAGGA